CCUGCCUUGGAGCCAGCUGACAAUGGACUGAAACCUCUACAAACUUCAUAUAAAGAUACAAGAAGAAGAUGGCUGUCUGCAAAUCAGGAAGACUGACCUCACCAGACAUUGGAUCUGCUGGUUGUACCUGGAUCUUGAACUUCCCAACCUUCAUAUAAUGUAAUGUUGGAGAGGUCCUUGGCCGGCUGGACCCCACUUUGGCCGACUCGUCACACCCACCUGCAACCAGCGAGAUGGUGAGGACCACUCAGCAAGCCCACCAGCCACCAGCUUAGUGCUUGGGCUCCUGGAAACCACCCCCCACCCCUGGCCUCCUGGUUGUGUCGCUACCUGGUUCCACACUACAGAGGCACAGGGGGCAUAAGGGCCAUUGUCCUGAGCUGCAGAAGUGAACAACAGAUAGAGGGCCUCUCUCAGGCUCCUUCAUGAAAACUAAAGCUGACUGUAAAAGUGAAGAGAAUCUUGGAAAUAAAGGCACACCAGACCACCGUACUUG
This 496-nucleotide long non-coding RNA is filed under the name Heterocephalus glaber (naked mole-rat). RNAcentral describes it as "lncRNA (ENSHGLG00100047193.1)". Lineage: Eukaryota; Metazoa; Chordata; Mammalia; Rodentia; Bathyergidae. The record is from RNAcentral.